CGGGGCAUCAUAGCGGAGGUAAGAACCAACAGGGAUUGCCCUAGUAACGGCGAGUGAAGCGGCAACAGCUCAAAUUUGAAAUCUGGCUCUCGGGCCCGAGUUGUAAUUUGUAGAGGAUACUUUUGAUGCGGUGCCUUCCGAGUUCCCUGGAACGGGACGCCAUAGAGGGUGAGAGCCCCGUCUGGUUGGAUGCCAAAUCUCUGUAAAGUUCCUUCAACGAGUCGAGUAGUUUGGGAAUGCUGCUCUAAAUGGGAGGUAUAUGUCUUCUAAAGCUAAAUACCGGCCAGAGACCGAUAGCGCACAAGUAGAGUGAUCGAAAGAUGAAAAGCACUUUGAAAAGAGAGUUAAAAAGUACGUGAAAUUGUUGAAAGGGAAGCGUUUAUGACCAGACUUGGGCUUGGUUAAUCAUCUGGGGUUCUCCCCAGUGCACUUUUCCAGUCCAGGCCAGCAUCAGUUUUCCCCGGGGGAUAAAGGCGGCGGGAAUGUGGCUCUCUUCGGGGAGUGUUAUAGCCCACCGUGUAAUACCCUGGGGGGGACUGAGGUUCGCGCAUCUGCAAGGAUGCUGGCGUAAUGGUCAUCAACGACCCGUCUUGAAACACGGACCCCUGUGUGAAAUUGUAUUCCGCUCAA
Molecule: ribosomal RNA, 630 nt
Filed under: Fusarium oxysporum
Lineage: Eukaryota; Fungi; Ascomycota; Sordariomycetes; Hypocreales; Nectriaceae
Description: eukaryotic LSU rRNA
Rfam family: Eukaryotic large subunit ribosomal RNA
Source: RNAcentral